GAUGAACGCUGGCGGCAUGCCUAACACAUGCAAGUCGAUCGGUAAGGCUCUUCGGAGUACACGAGAGGCGGACGGCUGAGUAACGCGUAGGAACACACCCUGCAGUGAGGGAUAAGACACCGAAAGGUGUUCUAAUACCGCAUACGGUCUUCGGAUUAAAGCAUUUAUGCGCUGAAGGAGUGGCCUGCGUCAUAUUAGAUAGUUGGUGAGGUAAUGGCUCACCAAGUCGAUGAUGUGUAGCUGGUCUUAGAGGAUGAUCAGCCAGACUGGAACUGAGACACGGUCCAGACUCCUACGGGAGGCAGCAGUGAGGAAUAUUUCACAAUGAGCGAAAGCUUGAUGGAGCAAUGCCGCGUGCAGGAUGAAGGCCCUCGGGUUGUAAACUGCUUUUAUAAGAGAAGAUUAUGACGGUAACUUAUGAAUAAGGGACGGCUAACUACGUG
This 443-nucleotide ribosomal RNA is filed under the name uncultured bacterium. RNAcentral describes it as "partial 16S ribosomal RNA". It matches the Rfam family "Bacterial small subunit ribosomal RNA", at positions 28 to 507 of the family's 1533-position model. The record is from RNAcentral.